CUUGGAAGUUCUUAUCAU
RNAcentral lists this unclassified non-coding RNA (18 nucleotides) under Mus musculus (house mouse). RNAcentral's name for it is "oocyte_clustered_small_RNA2507". Lineage: Eukaryota; Metazoa; Chordata; Mammalia; Rodentia; Muridae. The record is from RNAcentral.